RNAcentral lists this ribosomal RNA (253 nucleotides) under uncultured bacterium. RNAcentral's name for it is "partial 16S ribosomal RNA". It matches the Rfam family "Bacterial small subunit ribosomal RNA", at positions 524 to 776 of the family's 1533-position model. The record is from RNAcentral.
UACGUAGGGUGCGAGCGUUAAUCGGAAUUACUGGGCGUAAAGCGCGCGCAGGCGGUCUGUUAAGUUAGAUGUGAAAUCCCCGGGCUUAACCUGGGAACUGCAUUUGUGACUGGCAGGCUAGAGUAUGGCAGAGGGGGGUAGAAUUCCACGUGUAGCAGUGAAAUGCGUAGAGAUGUGGAGGAAUACCGAUGGCGAAGGCAGCCCCCUGGGCCAAUACUGACGCUCAUGCACGAAAGCGUGGGGAGCAAACAGG